This 549-nucleotide long non-coding RNA is filed under the name Homo sapiens (human). RNAcentral describes it as "non-protein coding lnc-PPIAL4E-9:1". The record is from RNAcentral. Lineage: Eukaryota; Metazoa; Chordata; Mammalia; Primates; Hominidae.
GCGCAGGCGCCCAGAGGCGCACAGGAGACCUCAGGCCCAGACUCCACUCCCCAGCUGUGAAAGGACUGCUGGCCAGACCCCCAAGCUAGCCCGCCAGGCCUCCAUAGAGCUGCCCAGCAUGGCUGCAUCCAGUACCAAGAGUUGGUGGGAGACGGGUGAGGUAUAGGCUCAGUCUGCGGCCAAGACUCCGUCCUGCAAGACUCUUUGGCAGUUGCACUGGGUACUGGCUGAGUUCUGGAAAACAGGAAUGUGAGCAGAGUGCUGCAGAUCUCCUUGUCAGGAGCACCUAAGAACUGGCAUGACUCUACACCCUCUCUCCUUCUGCAAUGACCUCGUGUCAAGAUGGCAGACCCGCAGAGAUGAAUGUGCCUGGAUACCUGAGUCACCAGGUGGAGGAAACUCCCAUUGACAUGCAUCACACUCCACAUAUGAAACCCUUCUUUUUCUGCACUGUCACUGGGGUUAGGGAUUAUUACUCACUGCAACUUAGCCUAGCAUUAAGUUGCUUGACUAAUACAAGUUUCAAUAAAUGUCGCUUCAUUUCCCAUG